AUACGUAUGGGGCAAGCGUUAUCCGGAUUCAUUGGGCGUAAAGCGCGUGUAGGCGGCUUGUUAAGUCAGAUGUGAAAACCGGGGGCUUAACCCGCGGCGUGCAUCUGAAACUGGCAGGCUUGAGUCUGGUAGAGGAAGGUGGAAUUCCUAGUGUAGCGGUGAAAUGCGCAGAUAUUAGGAGGAACACCAGUGGCGAAGGCGGCUUUCUGGGCCACGACUGACGCUGAGACGCGAAAGCUAGGGGAGCAAACAGGAUUAGAUACCCCAGUAGUCC
This 274-nucleotide ribosomal RNA is filed under the name uncultured bacterium. RNAcentral describes it as "partial 16S ribosomal RNA". It matches the Rfam family "Bacterial small subunit ribosomal RNA", at positions 523 to 796 of the family's 1533-position model. The record is from RNAcentral.